This 748-nucleotide ribosomal RNA is filed under the name uncultured Chloroflexota bacterium. Its description in RNAcentral is "bacterial SSU rRNA". It matches the Rfam family "Bacterial small subunit ribosomal RNA", at positions 576 to 1336 of the family's 1533-position model. Lineage: Bacteria; Bacillati; Chloroflexota. The record is from RNAcentral.
CGGUUUGUUAAGAUGGGUGUGAAAGCUCCUGGCUCAACUGGGAGAGGUCGCCCAUGACUGGCAGACUAGAGAGCAGUAGGGGAAGGUGGAAUUCCGGGUGUAGUGGUGAAAUGCGUAGAUAUCCGGAGGAACACCAGUGGCGAAGGCGGCCUUCUAGGCUGUAUCUGACGCUCAGACACGAAAGCUAGGGUAGCAAACGGGAUUAGAGACCCCGGUAGUCCUAGCCGUAAACGAUGUGAACUUGGCGCUGGGAGGGUAAAACCUAUCAGUGCCGAAGCAAACGCGAUAAGUUCACCACCUGGGGACUACGGCCGCAAGGUUAAAACUCAAAGGAAUUGACGGGGCCCCGCACAAGCAGCGGAGCGUGUGGUUUAAUUCGAUGCUACACGAAGAACCUUACCAGGGUUUGACAUGCAAGUGGUAGGAAGCCGAAAGGUGACCGACUCUUCGGAGAGCUUGCACAGGUGCUGCAUGGCUGUCGUCAGCUCGUGUCGUGAGAUGUUCGGUUAAGUCCGCUAACGAGCGCAACCCUCGCUGUGUGUUACAAGUGUCACACGGUACUGCCGGUCUUAAGCCGGAGGAAGGUGGGGAUGACGUCAAGUCAGCAUGGCCUUUAUAUCCUGGGCUACACACACGCUACAAUGGCCAACACAAUAGGUUGUUAAACCGCGAGGUGGAGCCAAUCCAAAAAAGUUGGUCUCAGUUCAGAUUGUAGGCUGCAACUCGCCUGCAUGAAGAUGGAGUUGCU